Molecule: ribosomal RNA, 422 nt
Filed under: uncultured bacterium
Lineage: Bacteria
Description: bacterial SSU rRNA
Rfam family: Bacterial small subunit ribosomal RNA
Source: RNAcentral
UGAGGAAUAUUGGGCAAUGCCCGCAAGGGUGACCCAGCAACGCCGCGUGGAGGAUGAAUGUCGUAAGAUUGUAAACUCCUGUUAGAGGGGAAGAAUAGUACCGGUUGGACCGGUAUAUGACUGUACCCUCAGAGAAAGCCCCGGCUAACUACGUGCCAGCAGCCGCGGUAAUACGUAGGGGGCAAGCGUUGUUCGGAUUUACUGGGCGUAAUGGGCGCGUAGGCGGCGCGGUAAGUCACUUGUGAAAUCUCUGAGCUUAACUCAGAACGGCCAAGUGAUACUGCUGUGCUAGAGUGCGGAAGAGGCAACCGGAAUUCUUGGUGUAGCGGUGAAAUGCGUAGAUAUCAAGAGGAACACCUGAGGCGAAGGCGGGUUGCUGGGCCGACACUGACGCUGAUGCGCGAAAGCCAGGGGAGCAAACG